Molecule: ribosomal RNA, 506 nt
Filed under: uncultured bacterium
Lineage: Bacteria
Description: bacterial SSU rRNA
Rfam family: Bacterial small subunit ribosomal RNA
Source: RNAcentral
GAUUCUGGCUCAGAACGAACGCUGGCGGCGUGCUUAACACAUGCAAGUCGAACGGGGAUUAAGUUGGAAAGGCUUCGGCCCGGAAGAUUAAUUCGAGUGGCGGACGGGUGAGUAACGCGUGAGCAACCUGUCCCAGACAGGGGGAUAACACUUGGAAACAGGUGCUAAUACCGCAUAAGACCACGGGGUCACAUGGCCCAGGGGUAAAAGGAGCAAUCCGGUUUGGGGUGGGCUCGCGUCCGAUUAGAUAGUUGGUGAGGUAACGGCCCACCAAGUCAACGAUCGGUAGCCGACCUGAGAGGGUGAUCGGCCACAUUGGAACUGAGAGACGGUCCAAACUCCUACGGGAGGCAGCAGUGGGGAAUAUUGGGCAAUGGGCGAAAGCCUGACCCAGCAACGCCGCGUGAGUGAAGAAGGCCUUCGGGUUGUAAAGCUCUGUUAUGUGGGACGAAGGAAGUGACGGUACCACAUAAGGAAGCCCCGGCUAACUACGUGCCAGCCGCCGC